GACGAACGCUGGCGGCGUGCUUAACACAUGCAAGUCGAACGGAAAGGCCCUGCUUUUGUGGGGUGCUCGAGUGGCGAACGGGUGAGUAACACGUGAGUAACCUGCCCUUGACUUUGGGAUAACUUCAGGAAACUGGGGCUAAUACCGGAUAGGAGCUCCUGCUGCAUGGUGGGGGUUGGAAAGUUUCGGCGGUUGGGGAUGGACUCGCGGCUUAUCAGCUUGUUGGUUGGGUAGUGGCUUACCAAGGCUUUGACGGGUAGCCGGCCUGAGAGGGUGACCGGCCACAUUGGGACUGAGAUACGGCCCAGACUCGUACGGGAGGCAGCAGUGGGGAAUAGUGCACAAUGGGCGGAAGCCUGAUGCAGCAACGCCGCGUGCGGGAUAACGGCCUUCGGGUUGUAAACCGCUUUCGCCUGUGACGAAGCGUGAGUGACGGUAAUGGGUAAAGAAGCACCGGCUAACUACGUG
Molecule: ribosomal RNA, 468 nt
Filed under: uncultured bacterium
Lineage: Bacteria
Description: partial 16S ribosomal RNA
Rfam family: Bacterial small subunit ribosomal RNA
Source: RNAcentral